RNAcentral lists this ribosomal RNA (545 nucleotides) under Pagurus minutus. RNAcentral describes it as "partial small subunit ribosomal RNA". It matches the Rfam family "Bacterial large subunit ribosomal RNA", at positions 1831 to 2625 of the family's 2925-position model. Lineage: Eukaryota; Metazoa; Arthropoda; Malacostraca; Decapoda; Paguridae. The record is from RNAcentral.
GUCUAUAUGAAGGUGUAUAUAGUUUGGCCUGCUCACUGAUUAUAUUAAAGAGCCGCAGUAUUUUGACUGUGCGAAGGUAGCAUAAUAAAUUGUCUUUUAAAUGGAGGCUUGAAUGAAAGGUUGGACAAAGUGUCAUCUGUUUCUUAAAUAUUUAUUGAAUUUGACUUUCAAGUGAAAAGGCUUGAAUAAAUUAAAAAGACGAUAAGACCCUAUAAAUCUUUACAAUAAACAUAUUUUAUAUUUUUAUUUAUUAAGUGAAUGAGAUAUUAAAUUUGUAGUUGUUCCGCUGGGGCGGCGUAGAUAUAUAAAUGAACUGUCUAUAAUUUUAAAUACAAUAAUUAUUGAUUAAUGAAAUUGAUCCUUAAAUAGAUUAAAAGAUUAAGAUACUUUAGGGAUAACAGCGUUAUUUUUUCUGAGAGUUCUUAUCGAAGAAAAAGUUUGCGACCUCGAUGUUGAAUUAAAGUAUCUUUAUGGUGCAGUCGCUAUAAGAGAGAGUCUGUUCGACUUUUAAUACUUUACAUGAUUUGAGUUCAGACCGGCGUGAG